GUCUGCACAGGGCGCGCGGGAUCCUUUACACCCAUGCCACAAACUACCACCAGGCAGUUGCAGGUCUCUUUGGUCCCAAACUAGCAGGCUCAGGAACAAUUUCUCUUCCCAUCCACUGUAACCCUGCUGAACUCUGUGACCCAGAGAACUCUGUGAACUCUGUGACCCAUCACGUACCAUACCCCCCGCCUCUCAGGGACCUUGUUGCACUAAUCCCUUGUACUACUCUGACACUCUGACACUGCCUUGCAAAUCCUGAUAAUGGAAGUUUUCAUUGGUUACAGGUAUGUGUCUACCUCAGGAACCUCACUGCUGCUAUCCCUGCAUUUCAGUUGCACAUGCAUCUUGUACAUUCAAUUUGCCAUUUUGUAUUGCCAUUGUUCUUGCAUUUUUACAGUUGUUACACACGUCUACCUCAAGGACCUAAGCGCUGCUAUCUCUGCAUCAUGGUUGCUCAUGCUACCAUACUACAUUACUCCUUCAUUUGCUUCGUUUGCACAUCUUGUAUGCCAUUUAGAAAUUGCCAUUUGUAUCUGUACAACUGUUAUCCCACAUGCAAAAUACACUAUACCUAAUACUUAUACUAUACCUAAUACUUAUACUAUACAUAAUACUGCCCUUCUCUAUAUGCCUUAAUCGCACAUUUAUUAUUGCCCUUUGUAUUGCAUUUGCCUUCAUAAAUACUUGUAAUACUUGUAAAGACUACAUUUUCUGCCCUCUAUUUGAACUUCUGGUUAGAUGCUUACUGCAUUUCAUUGUACUGUACUUGUACUGUUCAAUGACAAUAAAGUUGAAUCUUAUCUAAUUCCUUUUCCCUCUAUGAUAUAGAAAGGUUAUUCAACCUCUAAGCUUUGUAUGUCAGCUUAGUAUAUAUUGUGAUCUAACUAUGGAUGCAGUCAAAAUAGAUCUGAACCAUAGAUUACUUUCCAGAUGAGGAUCCAAAAUGAGGUUUUAAAACAGUCAACACCCCCUUUAACUGUAUGAAAACAUACUUACUGUCUGGCCCAGAGAAACAGCCAACUUAUUUUUGCUAUAUUGAUCACUGUCCAAAUGAGAUAGAAAGAUGGAGGGUGAAUCUCAGGGUUGCAGGAAACUGGACCAGACACAUUCC
Molecule: long non-coding RNA, 1111 nt
Organism: Esox lucius (northern pike)
Lineage: Eukaryota; Metazoa; Chordata; Actinopteri; Esociformes; Esocidae
Source: Ensembl